Molecule: long non-coding RNA, 2039 nt
Filed under: Citrus x clementina
Lineage: Eukaryota; Viridiplantae; Streptophyta; Magnoliopsida; Sapindales; Rutaceae
Description: Citrus clementina (C. clementina) long non-coding RNA (CCLE_LNC003687)
Source: RNAcentral
GCUACUAUUAUAAUUUUUUAAAUUAUAACUAUUUAACAUCAAUUACAAACGCACCCUAACUUUACUUAUUCGCAAGUUCAAUGGGUAACGUUUUGAGGUUCAAACUCCCCAAAGUCAAUGAAAUAAAAAAGAAUGAGAAGAGAAAUUUUUAAAUAAUAAUUAACUGGGAGAAUCGAUUACACAUCUUUUGAUGUGGUUGUUUCAUGGCGAAGGAGGGCACAAGAGGAGAUAUGAGUAGGAUUUUAGGCGGGGCCUACUUGUGCCCCAAAUAUCAAGUGAAGCUCGUGCCAACCAUAAACUAUGAAGCACCACUCCCCAUAUAGUCAAAACUCACGCAAAAUUUUGAUUCAAUUAAAGCCUGCAAAUUCCAGCAGGAGCCGAGACCCGUCUGUAUCUGUAUCUGGGGUUGUUUAAUUGGUUCAAACUUCAAAGCAAAAGGUUAGAAUUUGUAAAAUAAAUCACGCUAAAUGAUUUGGUGUUAUUUAUUUUUUGACCAUUUGCAUUACGUGGGUUGUUUUCCGAGAUGCUCUGCCUUUGCUGCUUUGCUGCUUUGCUGACUCCUGAAGUAAGUAAGAUUGGCUCAACUGGAAAAAGGAUACAGAUAGGAUAAAUGUAAGGCGAUGUUUGUCUGGUUCCGGAAAAGUUUAAAAACUACAAAAGUGAAGGAACAUGCAACAAAUUGGACGCAUGGGGGGGCGGUGGGGGACUUGGGGGGGGGGACCUUUACCUUUCAAAAUCUCAAUUCAAGGAUUGCAACCAACCACUAGUGGCUUUGCCUUCGAAAGCGAAUUUUGUUUGAUGAAUCUGCUUUUGCCCUUAACGGCGCUAGUGUAGCUGCAGGCUAGGCACUAGCUAGGCAGCACAUGCAACCCCUUUGGCUCCAUUCCUGCAAUUCAAAACCUACUUGCCAUCUAGGCAUCUACUACAUUAUUAUGAGAAUUCAAUUGACUGCUUGAAUCCAAUCGUAACUUCAGAAAUGGUAGGCUAUGCUAUACAUCUCCUGCUUCCGAAACAAACAUAUAAACUUACUACUUUGUUGUUCGUGAAUUCCAUAUGGUGAUAUUAUUAUAUUAAUCAGCUUUAGACGGACAGAAUUCACUCACGGAACGGAAAGGAGAGACGCGCUUACAGCUAUAGCCCAUGUAGAUGUCUUAUAUAUAUAACCUGCAUUUAAUUUAAGAGCUGUGCUCAGUAAUUUUAAAUAUAAAUUCAAUUAAACAAUAUUUGGGUUAUUAAAAAUAACUCACAAGUUAGUGCAAGAUGGAUGCAAUGUAAUGUGGCAAUUGCAGAGUUACAGCCCAUUUAAUGACAUGGAAAAAGCAAAAACAAAUAAUUGUUACGUGAGGGUGUAAGCCGUAGAAACUGUGACUCAGUAAGAACAAGCAUGUAAUGUAAUGUGUAACUUAACGUGACCCUCCUUUUGUGGCUAUCCCGUGUUUUGUCAGUCUGUGAACUUCAGAUUUAAUCUUAGCCGUCCAUCUUCUGAGACCACCGACCACACGUUAUUGUACCAGAUUUUUCAGUGCUUUUAUGUUUGCUCUCACCUUUCACUGUUACUAAGGAUUCGCUGUUCUGAGUCUCUCGGUUCUCUGCAACUAUUGGUCGAUUCCAAAAUGCAUUUCUAUACUUGACCAACAAACUAACCAUGGUCUGUGGUAAAGCUUCACAAAAGCUAACUAUAGUAGUUUAAUGGGUGUUAGCACUUAGCAGUAUAUAUUUUAGUUUCGGGUUAAUUUGUUGACCAAGACUUCUUCAUCUCAUGACGCACAUUUGUCAUUUUUACUUAGAGAUAAACUCUUCUUUUUUUUUUUUAAUGUUUUUUUUUUUGGUCUUAUACAACUUCACAAAUUGAAAAUUUUACCUUCAAUAUUACACACUCUUUUAGACUUUGCCCAUAUCACUUUUGUUUGUAUCUCGCUUGUAUGUCGCGGAUCACAAAAUUUUUUAUGUUACUUUUUAGCUCACACAAAAAUCAAACAUAAAUUUGAAUUACAUGAGACUAAUACUCAGAUUAAAAUUCAUAUUAUAUGAGAUUUAUA